UGAACGCUGGCGGCGUGCUUAACACAUGCAAGUCGUGCGGUAACAGGCGUAGCAAUACGUGCUGACGAGCGGCGAACGGGUGCGUAAUACAUGGGAAUCUGCCCUUUAGUGGGGAAUAACCCGGCGAAAGCCGGGCUAAUGCCGCAUAAGAUCUUCGGAUGAAAGCGGGGGAUCGUAAGACCUCGCGCUGAUGGAUGAGCCCAUGUCGGAUUAGCUAGNGGUGAGGUAACGGCUCACCAAGGCGACGAUCCGUAGCUGGUCUGAGAGGACGGCCAGCCACACUGGGACUGAGACACGGUCCAGACUCCUACGGAGGCAGCAGUGGGAAUUUUGGACAAUGGGCGCAAGCCUGAUCCAGCCAUGCCGCGUGAGUGAAG
RNAcentral lists this ribosomal RNA (377 nucleotides) under uncultured bacterium. RNAcentral describes it as "bacterial SSU rRNA". It matches the Rfam family "Bacterial small subunit ribosomal RNA", at positions 30 to 410 of the family's 1533-position model. The record is from RNAcentral.